UCCUGGAUAGUUAAAUGGUUAUAACACAUGAAACCCAUGUAUUUGCCGGUUCGAAUCCGCAUUCAGGAU
This 69-nucleotide transfer RNA is filed under the name Bacteriophage sp. RNAcentral describes it as "tRNA-Val". It matches the Rfam family "tRNA". From Rfam's summary of the family: Transfer RNA (tRNA) molecules are approximately 80 nucleotides in length. The record is from RNAcentral.